GAUGAAGAACGUAGCGAAAUGCGAUAAGUAAUGUGAAUUGCAGAAUUUAGUGAAUCAUCGAAUCUUUGAACGCACCUUGCGCCCUUUGGCCAUUCCGAAGGGCAUGCCUGUUUGAGUAUCAUGAACACCUCAACUCUUUAUGGUUUUCCAUGAUGAGCUUGGACUCUGGGGGUUUUGCUGGCUCACAGUCGGCUCCUCUAAAAUGAAUCAGCUUACCAGUGUUUGGUGGGUAUCAUGGGUGUGAUAACUAUCUACGCUUGUGGUUUUUCCACCAGGUAACCUUCAGCAGUGGAGGUUCGCUGGAGCUCAUAGAUGUCUCUCCUCAGUGAGGACAGCCCUUUGAAUGUUUGAUCUCAAAUCAGGUAGGACUACCCGCUGAACUUAAGCAUAUCAAUAAGCGGAGGA
Molecule: unclassified non-coding RNA, 405 nt
Filed under: soil metagenome
Description: partial contains 5.8S ribosomal RNA, internal transcribed spacer 2, and large subunit ribosomal RNA
Rfam family: 5.8S ribosomal RNA (bases 1-121)
Source: RNAcentral